Cricetulus griseus (Chinese hamster) is the source of this 94-nucleotide ribosomal RNA. NCBI's taxonomy places the organism in Eukaryota, Metazoa, Chordata, Mammalia, Rodentia, Cricetidae. The record is from Ensembl.
GUCUGUGUCCACACCACCCUAAGCACACACCAUCUAAUCUGAUCUUGGAGGCAAAGCAGGGUCAGGCCUGGUUAAUAAUUAGAUGAGAAAGAAA